CGGGACGUGGCGCAGCUUGGCAGCGCGCCUGCUUUGGGAGCAGGAGGUCGCGGGUUCGAAUCCCGCCGUCCCGA
Molecule: transfer RNA, 74 nt
Filed under: Actinomycetota bacterium
Lineage: Bacteria; Bacillati; Actinomycetota
Also listed under: 1 other name
Description: tRNA-Pro
Rfam family: tRNA
About the family: Transfer RNA (tRNA) molecules are approximately 80 nucleotides in length. Their secondary structure includes four short double-helical elements and three loops (D, anti-codon, and T loops). Further hydrogen bonds mediate the characteristic L-shaped molecular structure. tRNAs have two regions of fundamental functional importance: the anti-codon, which is responsible for specific mRNA codon recognition, and the 3' end, to which the tRNAs corresponding amino acid is attached (by aminoacyl-tRNA synthetases). tRNAs cope with the degeneracy of the genetic code in two manners: having more than one tRNA (with a specific anti-codon) for a particular amino acid; and 'wobble' base-pairing, i.e. permitting non-standard base-pairing at the 3rd anti-codon position.
Source: RNAcentral